RNAcentral lists this ribosomal RNA (392 nucleotides) under uncultured bacterium. RNAcentral's name for it is "bacterial SSU rRNA". It matches the Rfam family "Bacterial small subunit ribosomal RNA", at positions 30 to 416 of the family's 1533-position model. The record is from RNAcentral.
AUUGAACGCUGGCGGCAGGCCUAACACAUGCAAGUCGAGCGGUAGAGAGGUGCUUGCAUCUCUUGAGAGCGGCGGACGGGUGAGUAAUGCCUAGGAAUCUGCCUAGUGGUGGGGGAUAACGUUCGGAAACGGACGCUAAUACCGCAUACGUCCUACGGGAGAAAGCGGGGGAUCUUCGGACCUCGCGCCAUUAGAUGAGCCUAGGUCGGAUUAGCUAGUUGGUGAGGUAAUGGCUCACCAAGGCGACGAUCCGUAACUGGUCUGAGAGGAUGAUCAGUCACACUGGAACUGAGACACGGUCCAGACUCCUACGGGAGGCAGCAGUGGGGGAAUAAUUGGACAAAUGGGCGGAAAGACCUGAUCCAGCCAUAGCCGCGUGUGUGAAGAAGGUC